UCGGCCUCUCUCUCUCUCUCUCUCUCUCUCUCUCUCUCUUGCUCGCUCGCUCGCUCGCUCGCUCUCCUCUUUUUUUGUAUUGAUUUCCCCCAAAAACUUUGAAUUUUAGGGACUUUAUACUGUUUUAAACCUCGAUGUAUACUUUACUGGGACUAGAUAAAGAUCUGUUAAUCUUGUAAAAGAGACCAAGCAUAAUGAGUAUGGAUAGAGAAUGUAAAAGACUCUAAAAUCGUCUUUUAGCUUUUUCACUGUGCUGCAAUUAUUGAAAUUUCAUAAGUUGUAGAACUAAGUGCAAUUUAUGCAGUUUCUUCGAGUCUGAGAAGUAAUGUUGUUGUUAAGCAGAUUGUCACCUGGUGAUACCAUGAAGCUAUUGUUAAAUAUUGUGGAAUCAUUAGAGUGUAUUAUUCAGUACUAGGAUUAGUUAGUGCUACAGAUACAUUGUCUCUUUCUUUCUUGAGCCGAGGGUCUACCGGAAUCAGCAUCUCUACUCCUCUGGAGUAGGGGUAAGGUCUACGUACAUACUCUGCUCCCCAGAUUCCACAUGUGGGAUCUCACUGGAUUGUUGUUGUUGUGCUUGUUGUGCUUGUUGACGGAAAUAUAUAGUAAGGCAGCCAUUAUUUUCGCCUUUAGAUUAUCCAUAUUUAGAUGGCCUUCUUUUCAGCAUAUAGUCAUAAGGGAAAAGGGUUCUUUUGGUUUCUUCAACUUCCUUUCUCUUUCAUUGCACGAUCCUUUUCAACACUGCCAAUAGAAUGUGUAUAUUUAGUGAGAGAUGUGUGCAACUACUCAUACCAUUUUCACUAUUUGAUUUUGCAUAUGAGUACUCUCCUCUCUCUCUCUCAAGAGUUUUACUUUUGUUCUUUACGCUCUUGGAACUUAUGAUUUGGUUCCAAAUUUGAAUGGUUAGAGUCGUCAAAUUUUGAGAUGCUGCUUUCUGUGUUCACCUUUUCUUUAUUUUUUUUAAGGGUGGGAGGAAGUUGUGUUCACACCUUUAAAAACUUUUUCAUAAUUUGUGCAUAUAGCUAGCGUGAGUAGCUUAUUUUACUGUUUCUUUUUAUUAAUAUAUACUCCUUCAGCAGGAAAGGGGAUGGGUAGCAACAUCCAUUUGAUUGAAUCGGAUUCUUUUACGUAUAACUUUUAUUAGUAAUGUGGAAAAUUUUCAAGAAUAUAAGUAGUUGACACUGAUCAAUUGGAUUUGUUUGCUUCCUUCAUGUGUGUCAGACUAUUUGCUGCUUUCCUCUAUUGUUUAAGUCUUUUUCAGAAACUAGUUAGCCUUGCCGAAUCCUUCAUUUCAUUGUCAAUUUUGUCCUCUAGUCUUAUCUUUAUUUUAUUAAAUGAAUUUUUUCUUAUCUCGUAUUGUGUAAUAAUUGUUUAAGUCUUUUUCAGAAACUAGCUAGCCUCACCGAAUCCUUCAUUUCAUUGUCAAUUUUGUCCUCUAGUCUUAUCUUUAUUUUAUUAAAUGAACUUUUUCUUAUCUCGUAUUGUGUAAUAGAUGGAACAAGAUCGUAGAUGGAUGUAUGAUAUAAAUCAUCCUAAUCGUAGGGAGUUGAAGGUAGAAUUUGUAGAAGGUGUUAAAGGAUUUAUUGCUUAUGCAAAAACACUUCCUGAAGUCAUCCUGAAG
This 1618-nucleotide long non-coding RNA is filed under the name Nicotiana benthamiana. RNAcentral's name for it is "long non-coding RNA (NBEN_LNC036748)". The record is from RNAcentral. Lineage: Eukaryota; Viridiplantae; Streptophyta; Magnoliopsida; Solanales; Solanaceae.